Long non-coding RNA from Ictalurus punctatus (channel catfish), 483 nucleotides. NCBI's taxonomy places the organism in Eukaryota, Metazoa, Chordata, Actinopteri, Siluriformes, Ictaluridae. The record is from Ensembl.
AUCGGACACAGACAGUAGUGAUGAAUCGGACAGACAGUAUAGUAAUGAAUCGGACACAGACAGUAGUAAUGAAUCGGACACAGACAGUAGUGAUGAAUCAGACACAGACAGUAGUGAUGAAUCGGACAGACAGUAGUAAUGAAUCGGACACAGACAGUAGUAAUGAAUCAGACAGACGAGUCGCGAGGACACAAACAUUAUUAAGAUUUAGAACUUCGACACUACACAGUGUUAUUGUAUACUAAGUCUAUAAAACGGGUCAAUUAAAAGUUUAGAAUGUAAAAGUUAGGCAUGAGUAAGUAAGUUUACUGGGAUUUAACCUUAACAUUUGAAUAAGUCACGUUUUUAAAAACAUAUUGCAGAAUAAUAACUAGCUAAUACCUGCUAAGCUAACAUGUAAACAACUCGGUUCAUCCUACCUCGGUUCCGACAGGCUCCGCCUCCUAAGAGAUGAUUAGCCAAUAGGAUCGCGUCUGCUUUAAC